UCUUUUGUGGCGUAACGGCAUCGCACCUCACCCCUCCAACAUAUUCUUAGAGGAGAUUCCCGGUUCAAUCCGGGCAGAGGGU
Molecule: non-coding RNA, 82 nt
Organism: Ascodesmis nigricans
Lineage: Eukaryota; Fungi; Ascomycota; Pezizomycetes; Pezizales; Ascodesmidaceae
Source: the annotation of a GenBank genome assembly